ACAUGUGAUAAUCUCUAUGCACUUCCAACUCCUCUGCUACUGUGAACUGUCCCUAUUCAUAAACAAUUGACAGCUUCAAAUGUGUAUGGUAAUACCUUUGAAGAAAUUCAAGACCCAGAAGUGGGCCUAAAACAUGAGCUCAAGCAGUUAUUCUACAGAAGGCCCAAACCUACCAUCAAGAGUCAGGACAAACGCGCUCCCGGCUCCCUCGGUUUCCCUCCAACUGCCUUGGAUCAAAGUUCAAACACACAGGGACACACUUCCUUUCCCUCUGGCGGACCCUAGAUCGAUCAGAUCCUGAGAUCUCACUCUCGAUUCUCCGUGUGUUUUUUGGCCUCGCUAAUUCUCUUCCGCUUAAUUGUGAUAAUCCCAGUCUGAUGCGACAAGCAGAUUAAUCCCAGCUCCGAUCUCAAUUACAAAAGAUGUAGCCAGACGUGAGUAUCUAGACCUCCUCCAUGAUCCGCGUUGCGGUUAUUCCUAUCGGGACAGUUCCACCAUAGAUCUUGCGGGACUACAACUCUAUACGGAGCACCAGAAGUCUCCCUUUACGAACUAGCCGUGGGAGACAGGAUCGCUUCGGUUCAAGUUCUUGUUUGGCAGAGCUCCUAACUGUCCCUGGGAGGACUUUCAGUCCAACCGCAAGAUCCUUGCUGUGUUGCCUGAUCUGGAUUCGGUUGUCGAGCAAUUCAACUCUGCGUGUAAGGGAUACUUCUCGGCGCUGGUGGAGCGGUACUUCUGUUUCUUCCUGGUGACUCUCAGACACAGGAGUUUCACUUGCAAACCAUGAUGCAAGACAUUGCUGCCUCAUUGCUGAUGGAAAUCGAAAAGUGAGUUCUUAAGGCAGAAUCUGCUGGAACAAUUCUCAGGAGGCCUCUGGAUUGUCAAUCCAGUCUCAGUCAGAGGAGGUUUAUGUCUAGCUGAUUAAGGCUAAAAAAUAAAGACUUGCUUGUGCACAGGAGACAAUAGGAGAUUAUUUUUCAGGAUUGCAUGUUGAUGAGAAUGCCCAUUAUUCUACUGCUUUAGAACUUGCAAGAUUGAUGGGAGAUUGCUUCUGGUGUGCUAGGGCAUUGGAGGGCAGUGUUUGUGCCUUAUUGGUAACUGGAUUCAGUUUUGGGAGAAGAGGUCAGAUAUUGUUACAAAUGCUGCAUCACAGAAAGUCGUUUAUACAAGACACUGGUCAGAGACUUUGGAAGGGCUCAAACCGAAAAAUGUUUCCUGCUCUUCAUCUUAUCUGGCACCUGGCAGCAUGUCUAAAUGUUGCCAUUUCCUUAUCUGUUCCUUGCCAUCAACUCAUCAUUUUAUUCAACAUUUCCUUAUCUGGUCCUGGCCAUCAAUUCAUCAUUUUAUUCUUCUCAUUAUUUGUAUAUUGGCAAA
Molecule: long non-coding RNA, 1374 nt
Organism: Tripterygium wilfordii
Lineage: Eukaryota; Viridiplantae; Streptophyta; Magnoliopsida; Celastrales; Celastraceae
Exons: 5
Source: RefSeq, a predicted model, not a curated record